Micropterus dolomieu (smallmouth bass) is the source of this 968-nucleotide long non-coding RNA. RefSeq lists it as uncharacterized. The record is from RefSeq and is a predicted model, not a curated record. NCBI's taxonomy places the organism in Eukaryota, Metazoa, Chordata, Actinopteri, Centrarchiformes, Centrarchidae. The transcript has 3 exons.
CUCACCACAAGGUUUUUGUUGCAGGUGUUGGAUUCUGCUGGAGAGUUUGGAUGGCAGCUGGAGCGGGCGGGGCUUUGUGGAGAUGGAGUCGUGGUGCCCAUGAGGGGCUCUUCUUUCAGCUCCUUUGACCCGAGCUGGCAGGUCAGGAAAGCCCCUGGCUUGAGAGAGUCUCCAACCUCUGAAGGGACCCUGCAGGAGAAACAAAGGAAGUGCUGUAAUGAGCUAAACCUGUCAACAGAAAAAGGCGCACAGCGACAAUGUGACUCAUCUAACACAAACACUAAGUGAUCAAUGCAGCUGCAUGAAAUCCCUGCAGGUAUCGGCCACAUGGUCCAUCUGCAGGUAGGUUGCAACAGUGAGCACCCCGGUGACGAUGCUUGGCGUCAGAGGGAGGCGGGAGGUGUACAUGAAGUCGAGCAGCAGGGAGAUACUGGAUGGGUCCAAGGUAUCAGGGAGAGACACUGUCAUGAGCUGCUCCCCGCUGCCACCACGCCCCUGAAGCAGCACAUGGCGAGAGUACAUCGAGUAGAAGAACCCACUGACAGGAGAGAGGAAGAGACAGAAAUAUUUAAGUAAACUUCCAAAUAUCUUUGGGCUGUGGACAAUACAAGACAUCUGAGGACGUCAUUGUAGGCUUUGGAAAACAAGGAUUUACGUUUUUCACCAUUUUCUGACAUUUUACAGACCAAACAACUAAUCAGUUAUUCGAGAAAAGAAUCGACAAUGAAAAUAAUCUUUAGUUGCAGCCCUACAAAUGAUUGGCCAAAAGCUAUGGUCAAAUGGUUGGAACAUCAGCUUUGUAUGGAAGUAGUGAAGAUGACCAAACCAACCAUAACAUCGACACUUAAAUAAUAACAAACAAUAUCCAUGUUUAUGUAAUAAAAUGUAUAAAUGUUAUACAUUUGAUACAUGACAGGUGUGAUCAUGAUAGAUGCAAGUUCAACUGACAGGGCUGUGGGGGUACUUUA